Molecule: ribosomal RNA, 492 nt
Filed under: uncultured bacterium
Lineage: Bacteria
Description: partial 16S ribosomal RNA
Rfam family: Bacterial small subunit ribosomal RNA
Source: RNAcentral
AGUGAACGCUGGCGGUAGGCCUAACACAUGCAAGUCGAACGGCAGCACAGUAAGAGCUUGCUCUUACGGGUGGCGAGUGGCGGACGGGUGAGGAAUACAUCGGAAUCUACUUUUUCGUGGGGGAUAACGUAGGGAAACUUACGCUAAUACCGCAUACGACCUACGGGUGAAAGCAGGUGAUCUUCGGACCUUGCGCGAUUGAAUGAGCCGAUGUCGGAUUAGCUAGUUGGCGGGGUAAAGGCCCACCAAGGCGACGAUCCGUAGCUGGUCUGAGAGGAUGAUCAGCCACACUGGAACUGAGACACGGCCCAGACUCCUACGGGAGGCAGCAGUGGGGAAUAUUGGACAAUGGGCGCAAGCCUGAUCCAGCCAUACCGCGUGGGUGAAGAAGGCCUUCGGGUUGUAAAGCCCUUUUGUUGGGAAAGAAAAGCAGCAGGUUAAUACCCCGCUGUUCUGACGGUACCCAAAGAAUAAGCACCGGCUAACUUCGUG